CUUAAAUCCAUCAAUCCAAUUCAGAGCACAAGACCAAACUUGCCUUACGACACGACACAACACAACACAACACAUUUAAUAGUCCCAGAAAUUUAACUCUCUGCAACAUUUGGAUAUUUUAUAGUAAUAGCAGCACAUUGGAUAACCAUGAUGAAAUAAGGUUUUGAGCUGAGAGCUGAUAAGCUUCUCAACUACCACAAGAUUAUGCCUUGAGGUGGGGGAAGCACUGAUGAAGGUCUGACUUCGGGUGCCUUGCUUCAGCAUGUUCCUUGCAUUUUGCCUCCGAAGUCGUGCAGAUGAAUGUUUGCAUGCAUACCUUGCACUGGAUGUUCAUUGCCUUCUUGUUUGAUUCCAGUUGGCUGCCUUUGGGGGCUUUGAGCUUCUCCAUGUUCUUCUCGCGCGCCGUCUUCGAUUUCUGGCCGUUGCCGCCGCCCAUCGUUGAUCGGCUGGAUCUGGAUCGGCGGUCGCCGGCCGGGGAGGAGGGUGGAG
RNAcentral lists this unclassified non-coding RNA (489 nucleotides) under Hevea brasiliensis (rubber tree). Lineage: Eukaryota; Viridiplantae; Streptophyta; Magnoliopsida; Malpighiales; Euphorbiaceae. The record is from RNAcentral.